This is a non-coding RNA of Megalopta genalis, 1907 nucleotides long. The record is from RefSeq and is a predicted model, not a curated record. NCBI's taxonomy places the organism in Eukaryota, Metazoa, Arthropoda, Insecta, Hymenoptera, Halictidae.
CGGACGUCCACCGACCGGACCGCUCAACUUGGAAAAUGGUACAGCAUUCUGCCUGGAACACAUUUUCUGACAGUUCUCAUGUUUGUCCAAUGCCAAGUUGAAAGUGAUUUAAAGCUGUCUGAUUACAAGGCGGCGUCUUCUACUCUGUCCGAGAAUGUGCUGACUCAUUCUACUCGCCCCUGUACAUCAGUCUACAAAACUUUCAGAGGAGUUCCUCCGUCCGGUUCAUCGCUCACCCCAUAGAUAGCCGCCAACAAUGUAGUGUCUGACCAUACACUGGGCUCUUCCACUUGCUGCGUAAACAGCCGUCUGUCGAGCUAAUUUCACAAGGUUGCGAGCCAACCGGGGACGCAAAGAAGAGAGAGAAUAUAAUACUGUCCGAUUUGACAUUGGCGUAUGCGCUGUUUCCGGGCCCCUGCCACUAAUCCUGGGUCUUAAAGUCCGCAUGUAUCGAGCGACGACAUAUCGGCAGCUGAUCGUCGGCCGAUUCUCUUACGGUUUAAGCUUCUUAAAAUUACCGGGGCUCGGCUCUCGAAAUACGCAACGUUGGUGACGAGAGGCCGCGCGGGCGGAAUUAGAGCGUUUCUCAUAAUACCACCCCCGCAUGAGUCGACCGAGCGUGGCGGGACGCGGAGCACGGCGAAGAGGAGGGGGGAGAAGUUAUUGGAUACGACGGGGAACAAUUAAAUUGUAUCGUCGUCAGCGGGACGGAAUUAGCAAAUUUCCGGUCGGCGAUACGAUCGCCGGGAAAUCAGCGAUUUUCAAUUCGAUACCGAGCCAAUCGGAUCCGUCGAAUUUCUCUUCAGGGCCGUAGAGGGGGAGGUGGGACGCGGGCACCCCGAUUCAACGAGGGAAAUUACGAAAGCGAUAUCCAGGUCUUUCUUCGUCAAGUGGAGAGGCGGGGCUGCAAAGCCGUGCUCAGAGAAAUCCCCUUUAGAUUCUAUUGCCCGGUACAUCCCCUCACCCCCCUCGCACGGCCCUGCGUCCCAUUAGGUCGCGGUUAUUCGCCACGCAUCCGCCGCAUUAAACGUUACUCGCGAACCACAGUCGCUUUUUUUUCGAGUGGUCUUAAUUAACUUCCACCCCUCGCUUGGCUCCGGCCGUUUCGUCCCCCAACGGCGAGACCCUGUUUCAAUGAGAACCCGAUGAAGCUCUCUCGAUGACCGACCGCUGCAUUGGUCCUCGUGGCCGCCGGACAACAGCCAAUUGACACGCGGCGAUUUUCAUGCGCUUUUUGUCGAACCGAAGUUAAGGGAUGAAAAAUUUGGCUAACGUAACAUCGGCGAAAAAGAUCGUACGGCACUGUAACUUCGCUUGUUUUGAAGGGUGAAGUUUCUACUUUGAUACUGGUAAGCUCAUUUUUUUUUAACAAUCAUGCUCGUUUUUUGAUAAUUAAUUGACGAGCCAUAUGGUGUAUGUACUUUAUCUAGAAAUCUCGAGCGUGCAAUUAUCGACGUUUGAGCUAAUGUAACUCGAUUGAAAAAAAUCGUGCGACGACGUACUAUAGCUCAUUUUAAAGAGCCGAGCUUUUACUUUGAUUCCAGUCAGCUCGUUUUUUUAUCAACGUUCUUUAUCAUUUAAUAAUUAAUUGACGUGUGGUACGGUCCAUGUACUUCAUCUGGAAAUCUCGGAUAAAUAAUUACCGACGUUCGAGCGGUCGCAACAUUGUAAAAAAAAUCGUACGACAAUGUGCCUUACCUUAUUUUAAAGGGUAAUGCUUCUACUUUGAUUCUAGUAAGCUUGUUUUUUAUCAACGUUCUCUGUCAUUUAAUAAUUAAUUGACGAGUGGUAUGGUACAUGUACUUUAUCUGGAAAUCUAGGACAAAUAAUUACCGAUAUUCAAGCGGUCGCAACAUUGUAAAAAAAGAUCAUACGACAAUAUACUUUAUCUUAUUUUAAAGGGUAAA